RNAcentral lists this ribosomal RNA (363 nucleotides) under Proteus mirabilis. RNAcentral's name for it is "partial 23S ribosomal RNA". It matches the Rfam family "Bacterial large subunit ribosomal RNA", at positions 1 to 392 of the family's 2925-position model. Lineage: Bacteria; Pseudomonadati; Pseudomonadota; Gammaproteobacteria; Enterobacterales; Morganellaceae. The record is from RNAcentral.
GGGUUGUGAGGUUAAGCGAAUAAGCGUACACGGUGGAUGCCUAGGCAAUCAGAGGCGAUGAAGGACGUGCUAAUCUGCGAAAAGCGUCGGUAAGGUGAUAUGAACCGUUAUACCCGACGAUAUCCGAAUGGGGAAACCCAGUAUCCAAUGGAUACUAUCAUUAACUGAAUCCAUAGGUUAGUGAGGCGAACCGGGAGAACUGAAACAUCUCAGUACCCCGAGGAAAAGAAAUCAACCGAGAUUCCCCUAGUAGCGGCGAGCGAACGGGGAGCAGCCCAGAGUCUUAAUCAAUAACAGUGUCAGGAGAACGGUCUGGAAAGUCCGGCAGUAAAGGGUGAUAGCCCCGUAUCUGAAGAUGCUGUU